UACAUGGGGUGCAAACGUUGCUCGGAAUCAUUGGGCGUAAAGCGCACGUAGGCGGUUACUUAAGUCGGAUGUGAAAGCCCUCGGCUCAACUGAGGAAGUGCACCCGAAACUGAGUAGCUAGAGUACGAAAGAGGGUCGCGGAAUUCCCGGUGUAGAGGUGAAAUUCGUAGAUAUCGGGAGGAACACCGGUGGCGAAGGCGGCGACCUGGGUCGAGACUGACGCUGAGGUGCGAAAGCGUGGGGAGCGAACAGG
RNAcentral lists this ribosomal RNA (253 nucleotides) under uncultured bacterium. Its description in RNAcentral is "partial 16S ribosomal RNA". It matches the Rfam family "Bacterial small subunit ribosomal RNA", at positions 524 to 776 of the family's 1533-position model. The record is from RNAcentral.